AGUCUUAUAUUCAACUAUGAUAUAAAAUUGCAAAUUUUAAGGAGUAUAUAAAAUACUAAGGCUU
RNAcentral lists this transfer RNA (64 nucleotides) under Prismosticta regalis. RNAcentral describes it as "tRNA-Cys". The record is from RNAcentral. Lineage: Eukaryota; Metazoa; Arthropoda; Insecta; Lepidoptera; Endromidae.